Molecule: long non-coding RNA, 1092 nt
Organism: Bos taurus (domestic cattle)
Lineage: Eukaryota; Metazoa; Chordata; Mammalia; Artiodactyla; Bovidae
Source: Ensembl
UCCCAGAAAUGCCUCUUGUAAAGCAUCACUUAGCAAGGGAAAAGCAGACACCUGCUUUAUAGCUUCUCCUAUAACUGAAGAGUUUUGGGAGCGAGGGAGGGAGAGAGGACAGGAGAUUCAGUGCCCCAGGGUCCCUGAGAAACUUUUCAAAAGUACAUCUUAUCAAGACUCUGAUUCCUCUUUAUAACUGGUGCUAACCAAUGCCACCUGCUAAGCUGAGCAGGUGGAGAUUUGAACACCAAGAUCGAGCAGCCUCUUCCCUAAACAAUGCAACCUGACUACAGAGUUUCUGCCCACACCACCUCCCAGGAGGUGGUGGAAAGGAAACCCUGGCCUGGGCCCCACAGUGUCCUACAAGGAGAGGCAUGCAGGAGAGACUGACGUGUCAGCUGUCAGCCCUGAGCCAAAGAGCUGCCGUCUCCACGGAGGCGUGCCUGGGCUCCCCCACCCUGGGAUGAAAUCAGGGUUCAGACAAGGGCCUUGAAGCCAUCCAUGGACUGACAGCAUAAUGCCCAUGACUUUCACAGUAUGUGUCUUUCAGCUGCAGAAAUAAGGGCAGGGUAAUUUUAGCUCCACAUGUGUUAGCACAACUCCAUCUCUCCUACCACCAGACUGGCUCCAGACAGAGACCCGUCGUGUUCUUCUGCAGCAGGGCACUCAGACGCUGCAGAAUCACAGACUGGGGACUUCCCUGGUCCGUUGUGUUCUUCUGCAUCAGGGCACUCAGACGCUGCAGAAUCACAGACUGGGGACUUCCCUGGUCCGUUGUGUUCUUCUGCAUCAGGGCACUCAGACGCUGCAGAAUCACAGACUGGGGACUUCCCUGGUGGUCCAGUGGCUCAAACUCCAUGUUCCCAGUGCUGGGGGCCCAGGUUCGAUCCUUGGUCAGGGAACUAGACCCCACCUGCCACAUCAAAGAUCAAAGAUCCCACCUGCUAUAACUAAGACCUGGCACAGCCAAAUAAAUAUUAAAAAGAAAAGAAAGAACCACAGACUGCCAACUCCGGGGAGUCAACUGGGGCUCAGGCAGAGAACAAGGCUCAUGGCCACCAGCGGUUCUCAGCCCACAGCCCAGAGCUGCAUGUCCUGAAG